UACGUAGGGGGCAAGCGUUAUCCGGAUUUACUGGGUGUAAAGGGGGCGCAGACGGCGAUGCAAGCCAGGAGUGAAAGCCCGGGGCCCAACCCCGGGACUGCUCUGGAAACUGUUAAGCUGGAGUGCGGGAGGGGCAGGCGGAAUUCCUGGUGUAGCGGUGAAAUGCGUAGAUAUCAGGAGGAACACCGGCGGCGAAGGCGGCCUGCUGGACCGUGACUGACGUUGAGGCUCGAAAGCGUGGGGAGCAAACAGG
This 253-nucleotide ribosomal RNA is filed under the name uncultured bacterium. RNAcentral's name for it is "partial 16S ribosomal RNA". It matches the Rfam family "Bacterial small subunit ribosomal RNA", at positions 524 to 776 of the family's 1533-position model. The record is from RNAcentral.